Long non-coding RNA from Chenopodium quinoa (quinoa), 765 nucleotides. RefSeq lists it as uncharacterized. Lineage: Eukaryota; Viridiplantae; Streptophyta; Magnoliopsida; Caryophyllales; Amaranthaceae. The transcript has 2 exons. The record is from RefSeq and is a predicted model, not a curated record.
UAAAAGACCUGUUGUAUAAUUCAACGGGUCUCUUAUGUGCGUAAGGGCCCACCACAAACCUCACUUUUCCUUUUAAUUUUUUUCUUAAAUAUUUUUACCCAUAGACCCAUAGAUAUUCGUAUUCAUUAUACAUUAAUUACGUGACUCUCUCUUUCUCCUUCAUCAUUUGACUCUCAUCUCAUCUGAAUUUUUUUUAAUCAUAGGGAAAUUAAUGGCUUGAUGCGCCGCCAACUCAUUAUCUACAACUUUGUUGCAUCCUCAUACCGACUUUGAUACAUCGUCGUCCUACACCGGCGUUGCCUCCUCCUCUUGUGAAAAAUCUAGAUCUAGAGUCUUGUGGUCAAAUUUGCACAAAUUAUGUAACAAUUCAAUUAGUCUUGAAAAGGAGGAUGAACAAUGAUCAAUUCAAAAAACUCAGUAAGCUGAUGAAUGGAGGAUAAAAGGAAUUACAAAGAUGUAUUUCGUUCACUUGUCGUAUAAAAUGAUGGGAAUGUUGGAAUGUUCUUUAUUUUGGUAACUUAUUAUAAUUUAUUCAACCCACAUUCACUUAACCAUGUUAAACUUGGUGGAUGCAACAAACAACCUGUCCUUCUAGGCGGCAAGAAGUAAUGAAUACAAGGCGCACAUCAGAUCCUUCGUGCAAGAUUCCAUGAUUUUUUUUUAUCAUUCAUCUUUAUUCCCCCAUUCAUGUCUAUCAUAAGUUUUCCAUUUCGAAUUUCUAUAUGUUUCGUUCACCUUUUCCAUUAAUAAAAUGAGCAUAUUUCC